GGACGCGACUGGCAUUUCAAACAUCUUCAAGUCCUUUUGCAACGCAUGAAAUGAAUUUCCUUGGAAGUGGUUACAUGAGCUACACACAAUUGUUGAUGGCUGCUGAUCAAGAGGCUGGUAUUGGUGGAUCUCAACAUUCUGGUCAACAACAAGAUUCUGGUGGCAGGGGGUUUUGUGAGGUAUGAUUUCAUUUACAUAUGUACAUAUCCGACUGCCCUUUCCCCCAUGUGUGACAGAAAAAAUAACAAAAAAAAUGCUUACUCUUUUAUUCUUGUUGUUGCUUAUACGGAAUGAC
Long non-coding RNA from Triticum aestivum (bread wheat), 295 nucleotides. RefSeq lists it as uncharacterized. The transcript is spliced from 3 exons. Lineage: Eukaryota; Viridiplantae; Streptophyta; Magnoliopsida; Poales; Poaceae. The record is from RefSeq and is a predicted model, not a curated record.